This 412-nucleotide ribosomal RNA is filed under the name Hoplonannus sp. UCR ENT 00004790. Its description in RNAcentral is "partial large subunit ribosomal RNA". The record is from RNAcentral. Lineage: Eukaryota; Metazoa; Arthropoda; Insecta; Hemiptera; Schizopteridae.
AUUUUUUUGUUAAUUUAUUUUAAGUAAGACCUGCCCAAUGACUUUUGUUAAAUGGCUGCAGUAUUUUAACUGUACGAAGGUAGCAUAAUAAUUUGUUUAAUAAUUUUAGACUUGAAUGAAAGGUUUUUUUAGAUUUAAUCUUUCUUUAUAUUAUUUAUAAGAAUUAAUUAUAUCAGUUAGAAAACUGAUAUAAUUUUAUGGGACGAGAAGACCCUGUAGAGUUUUAUAUUUUAAUAGGAUAUAUCCUAUUAAAAUAUUAUGUUGGGGGGGUAGUAAUUUAUAUAAACAAUUUUUUUUUGUUUCAUUGAUUUAUGAUUUUUUGAUCCAAUUAUUUUGAUUAUAAGAUCAAACUACCUCAGGGAUAACAGCGUAAUUUAUUUGGAGAGUUCUUAUUGAAAAUUUAAGUUUGCGA